AGAGUUUGAUCAUGGCUCAGGACGAACGCUGGCGGCGUGCCUAAUACAUGCAAGUAGAACGCUGAAAUCUGGUGCUUGCACCGGAUGGAUGAGUUGCGAACGGGUGAGUAACGCGUAGGUAACCUACCUCAUAGCGGGGGAUAACUAUUGGAAACGAUAGCUAAUACCGCAUAACAGUCUUUAACUCAUGUUAGAGGCUUGAAAGGGGCAAUUGCUUCACUAUGAGAUGGACCUGCGUUGUAUUAGCUAGUUGGUGAGGUAACGGCUCACCAAGGCGACGAUACAUAGCCGACCUGAGAGGGUGAUCGGCCACACUGGGACUGAGACACGGCCCAGACUCCUACGGGAGGCAGCAGUAGGGAAUCUUCGGCAAUGGGGGCAACCCUGACCGGGCAACGCCGCGUGAGUGAAGAAGGUUUUCGGAUCGUAAAGCUCUGUUGUAAGAGAAGAACGUGUGUGAGAGUGGAAAGUUCACACAGUGACGGUAUCUUACCAGAAAGGGACGGCUAACUACGUGCCAGCAGCCGCGGUAAUACGUAGGUCCCGAGCGUUGUCCGGAUUUAUUGGGCGUAAAGCGAGCGCAGGCGGUUUGAUAAGUCUGAAGUUAAAGGCUGUGGCUCAACCAUAGUACGCUUUGGAAACUGUCAAACUUGAGUGCAGAAGGGGAGAGUGGAAUUCCAUGUGUAGCGGUGAAAUGCGUAGAUAUAUGGAGGAACACCGGUGGCGAAAGCGGCUCUCUGGUCUGUAACUGACGCUGAGGCUCGAAAGCGUGGGUAGCGAACAGGAUUAGAUACCCUGGUAGUCCACGCCGUAAACGAUGAGUGCUAGGUGUUAGGCCCUUUCCGGGGCUUAGUGCCGCGGCUAACGCAUU
This 871-nucleotide ribosomal RNA is filed under the name uncultured bacterium. RNAcentral describes it as "bacterial SSU rRNA". It matches the Rfam family "Bacterial small subunit ribosomal RNA", at positions 8 to 861 of the family's 1533-position model. The record is from RNAcentral.